AAGGUCACCACGUUACAGCCAAGAGCAGUGGCCAAGAUGCCGCACCGAAAUAGAGCUUCCCUUCGACGGUUUUUGAACAAGCUCUCAAAUUGAAGAGCUGUUUGUCUAGUGACGAGAAGAUCAGCCUGGCCCAUUAACAUGACAGGCUGCCUUGACUGUCGCAACUGGCCUGGCCCGAUCCGGCUAAGGCCGAAGAAUGACGACUUGGAGGCGAAGAAAGAAGAAAUCGGACGGCUGCGGCUAGGCGGUGGUCGAAUCGUGGCCGCUCCAAAAUCGAAGGGUUUUAACCAAGUGAGGCUUGUUCGGUUUUGUUUCCUGCGGCUGCGGCGACAGGUCAGACAGAGCGGAAUUCCCUUCCUCCCGCUAGCUCGGGGCGGAUCCAUCCACCCGGCGGACCAUCUCUCAUCUCUCUGGGGCGCCAUGUCGGAGCACGCCGCCCCGGAGCUACCCAAGAGGUGCCACCACUGCGCAGGGCCCCUCUCCAAGGACAUGGAAACUAGCAGCUGGACCGUGACUCCAUUAGUUCGAGAUAGCUUCUCAAUGGUUUGUUCCAUCGCCUUUUACCGCCCACCAGUGCAAAUUGGUUCCGCUGUUGGGGGUACUGCAGGCGCAUUUUAUGCGUUUAAUCAUGCUAUGCCUGUUGUUCGGCGUUACAUAAAAGGGCCGAUGUGGAUGCAUUUUCUUGUUGGUGCCCCUCCAGUUGUUGUAUUCUCUUCUGCGUGUGCUGGAUUAGCAGCUGGUACAAUUCCAGCCCUUGCACAACUGGUUUCGUCGUCCUGUCAUGCCGCCAUGUCAUCGCCCUCCUUCGCCCGCCCUGCUUCUCCCGAUGACAUGCACAAGAGCAGAGGCUCCUCGCCAUUGUAAUUUACUAGCGCAGCCGACCAGCUACUGAAUUGUACUGCUCUAAGAAAUCUGUGCCACCUUAUGAAGGAUGUAAAUGUUAAGAUUUCAUGCGGAAGGAUGUUUUAACUGACAUGUGCUCCUUUCACUUAGUUUUUGUUGGUAUCUAUUUCUAUGUAUAGGUUAUGCCCUCUUAUCUUGUGUUAAUAUUUUGUAUUAAAAUAAGUAUUGCAGUGUUGUGAACCAUCUUAAACCAGCCCGAGGUUCAGCUAUUUUCUUCUGCAAAAUGCAAGCAUG
RNAcentral lists this ribosomal RNA (1137 nucleotides) under Triticum aestivum (bread wheat). Its description in RNAcentral is "partial small subunit ribosomal RNA". Lineage: Eukaryota; Viridiplantae; Streptophyta; Magnoliopsida; Poales; Poaceae. The record is from RNAcentral.